ACACAGACAUUCGAGGUUGAAACGAUUAAAACGAUAAGAAUAACUGUUACGUAUAAUAGUGAACAGUUUUUUUUUUCAAGAGCCAACUUUAUAAAGAGAGAUAGAAGAAAAAUUCUGGCUUUUCAUUGAUUUAAAGAAAAACAACCUUAUUCCUUUCUCUUAUUUUUUCGUGGCAUAGUAAAUAGUAUAUUUACAGUUGUAAAUUCAAAUUUAAAACUUCAUUCGUUUACUGCAACGACAGAGGGAAUACUUGUGAAGAAGAUAAAGGUAAACUAUGCGAAUGUUCUCUUUGUAUAUUAUAACAGGUGGAGAAUUUUGAAUGAUGAAAUAAUUAAAUAUUCAUAGAUGUAGAAAAAAGAACAACGUAAAGGUUUUAUUUAAUAUAAAGCUUAUUAACAAUAGAAUGUUCUUAUUUUAUUCUUUAUAAAUUUGGAUUUCUUCUUAAAAUGAAAGUUAAAAGUUUCAAUUUUCAAUUGUUUAAAGAUAAACUUUUGCGUUACGUCAUUAUUCUUAUCGAGAAAAUACGCAAGUAGGAAAGUAUAAUUGAUUGCUUUAAGAAUUAUUUGUUUAACUUUAGGCCAUAAUUUGUAUUAAUAAAUAGUUUAUCUAGGGUAUACGCAUAAAAAACUGAAGUUAUAUAACGUAUGAAUAUAUAUAUAUAUAUAUAUAUAUAUACAUUUGCAUAGAUGUAUAUAAACAAGUAUAGUUUAUAUAAAACCUUACAUUGAAACUGUUAUCGUAUACCAACUUGUUAUGCUCUAAUUUCUAAGCCAAGUUGAAGAUUUCUCUCUGUUAAUUGAAUAGCGAUAUUAAAAUCGAAUUAUUGAGCUUUCUAGGAGUGAGAACUGUUUUUGUUUUCUUUAUAUGAGAAGGGAUAAUAACUACAAAUAGAUAUUAGCAUAGAAACAAGAGAUUUUUACUGAGAGAUGGGCGAUUCAUCCGACAACAUCCUGCACUUCCGUUCUGGCGCCAAAAUGGCGGCGUCUAGUCAUAAAAAUAGUAGAAAUUUCUUAAAUGAUUACGAAAACACUGCAAAACCGUUUAUUAUUGGAGUUUGUGGCGGUACAGCAUCUGGUAAGACUACCGUAUGCGAUAAAAUCAUGGAGAAACUAGGAGAAAAGGUUAAAUCUAAAGUAGAAGUAAUUGCAAUGGAAAGUUUUUAUAAGGAUCUUGAUCCAGAGGAUAUUGAAGCAGCAAACAACGGACAAUAUAAUUUUGAUCAUCCCGAUGCUUUCGAUAUUGAAUUACUAGAAAAGACUUUUGACCAAAUAAUAGACAGAAAGACUGUCUGGGUACCGGCCUACGAUAAAAAGUCGAAUGAGAGGCUAUCUAAGGAUAAGUGGCAGAAAGUUCCGCCAGCUGAUGUUAUUAUUUUUGAAGGAAUCCUCGCGUUUUACUUUCAAAAGAUUAGAGACUCGUUUCAUAUGAAAUUAUUUGUUGAUAGUGACGCAGAUACAAGACUAUCUCGAAGAGUGCUAAACGAUACGGAGAAGAACGGAAGAGGUUUAGAAAAUGUCUUAAAUCAAUAUACACAAUUCGUUAAACCUGCUUUUGAAGAAUUUUGCCUACCCACAAAACAACACUCUGAUGUUAUAAUACCUAGAGGAUCGGAUAAUACGGUUGCUGUUGAUCUGAUAGUACAACAUAUUGAAGAAUUAAUGAAACCCCGAGUAGAAAGUUUACGAGAUAGACACAACUCGGAUUCAAUAACGGUCCGACCACACUGAAACUGAUGAAGCUCUCUUUAUAAUUUUCGUUUUCCGAACGAAUUAUAAAAUUUUUAUGUUAUGGACUUAUCACAAACGAAUGGAAUUAAUAGAAUAAGAACAAAAAAAUAUUAAAGCAUAUAUUGAAUCACAAAUAUUGAUAGAUUAACUUCCCUCUAAUCUAUUACGCUUAGAAGUCUUGAAUUGCAUGCUACUGUUCUACAAAUUCUAACUCUUUUUCCCUUGAAUUCUUACUAAUACUGCAAAAUUUUUCCGCUUAGUUUUCGAAACAAAUAGCAGCUUGAAUUGUUUGAAAAAAUAUAAUAGUAUUAAAUGUAUAUAUAUAUAUAUAUAUAUACUGUAUAUAUAACAUAUAUCAAAGGACUAUAUUAAUCAGUAUCCAAGACAUGUAAUAUAUAAACUUUAUACAGGUAAUUGCAAUCUUUUCUCUUUAAUUCAAUUGAAUCCAAGUUAAGAUUUGAAAUAUUAUUUAUUUUUAUUGUCAUAGAAAAUAAAGAAGAGACAGUGUUUUAGGGUUUCCAUGUGAUAACUUUAACCGCUAUUGUCGCGGCUUUAACAACGUUGGGUACAGGGUCACUCAUUAAGUCUCUGACCCUUUCUACUUCUUUUAAUAAAGCUGUCCUUCCUUCUGGUGCUUCGGCCAAACAAGUUAGAGCCUUUAGAGCGUUUGCUCUAACUUCACUGCAUUCAUCUUCCAAUAGAUUUAAAAGUGAUUCUAUUGCGUUAAAUUCUAAAGCAGUAUAUUUGCCUUUUGUGGUGAUUGUAAUUAUCAUUAAUGCUGCAGCGGCCAUUGCUCUGACUUCGGUGUUCUCAUCGGAUAAUAAUUGAACCAGGGUUUGGGGAGCUUUAACUUCUACUGCCUUAUUCUUACCAGCCAACGUAACGCUAAGAUCCAUCAUAUCUCUUGCAGCUUUAUGUCUUAUUAAAGGUAAUUCGUGGGAAAGUAAUUUGUUCAAAAUUUCCAUACCUUCAUUCGCUAAUACUUGUUCUGUUUGUACAAGCAUACAAAAAUGCAGGGUAUCCAAUACUAUAGAUUUUAUAUUAUCGGUUGUUGUCGUUAGAGUUUUGACCAGAGUGGGAACUAGGCCAGCAUCGACAAUUCCUUCAGCUCCUUGAGGCGUUUCCGAUAGCAUUUCAAUAGCUUUAUGAGCAUUUACUUUAGUAGCCAUAUCUUUGUCUUCGAAUGCUCUCGCCAAGCUCAAUACAAGUUCGCAACCCAAAAUUGCAUCCCUACCGAUAGCGUGGCUUGACAAUAUAUAUAGGCAUUCAGUAGUCUUUGCUCUAAUCAUAUCAUCACCAUCGUACAACAAACGCUUAAGGCUUUCUGGUAUACCUUCUCUUAGGGCAGAUGCUAUAUGUUCGGGAUCGUGUAAAUAAUCGCAAAGAGCGUUCAAACUACGCUGUCUAGUUAGUAGUUCUUUUGCUUGUAGUUCUCUAUUCAUUCGAGGAAGGGCUCUAUCCCCGUAAGCUUGCGUAGAACGCGUAGGAUCAACGAGAGGAGGCAUUUUUGCUGAAAUUAUUGUCGAUGCCAUGUUGUUUAUUUGUUAGUAAGCCUCCGUCGCUAAGCGCCCAGAUCAAAUUAACAGGAUCGCAUUGAAUUUAAAAUGAACAUUU
This 3341-nucleotide unclassified non-coding RNA is filed under the name Dimorphilus gyrociliatus. RNAcentral describes it as "uridine/cytidine kinase". Lineage: Eukaryota; Metazoa; Annelida; Polychaeta; Dinophilidae. The record is from RNAcentral.